Non-coding RNA from Rattus norvegicus (Norway rat), 463 nucleotides. The record is from RefSeq and is a predicted model, not a curated record. Lineage: Eukaryota; Metazoa; Chordata; Mammalia; Rodentia; Muridae.
GCAUGUAAAUGCACUCUGCCUCAUGCUUUUUUAAUGUUUUACUCGUCUUAAUUGCUGAAACCGGUUGUAAUUUCUGCUGGCUUGAGGAAACCGUUUCCUCCAGCGCACUCAGACCUCUCCUUGCACCUGGCACGUCCCGAAACUUGCUUUCUGUGAGGCGGUCACUCUUGGAGAGAAGCAGCAACUGCUCUUCCAAGACAAAUGGUGCCCUCCUUGGCCUGCUUAAAGGCUUCUACAAAGAAUCUCUCAUCGAGGGCUGGAGAGAUGGCUCAGCGGUUAGGAGCACUGACUGCUCUUCCAGAGGUCCUGAGUUCAAGUCCCAGUGACCACAUAACCACAUGGUGGCUCACAACCGUCUGCAAUGGGAUCCAGUACCCUCUUCUGGUGGUGUGUCUGAAGACAGCUACAGCAUAAUCAUAUACAUAAAAUAAAUAAAUGAUACAAUGAAAGAAUCUCUCAUCGA